This is a long non-coding RNA of Poecile atricapillus (Black-capped chickadee), 798 nucleotides long. RefSeq lists it as uncharacterized. The record is from RefSeq and is a predicted model, not a curated record. Lineage: Eukaryota; Metazoa; Chordata; Aves; Passeriformes; Paridae. The transcript is spliced from 8 exons.
CUCCGGACGCCAUUUUGGAUUUAUUCACCUGCCCAGGUGUGCGGGGACACCUGAGACCAUCAGGUGGGGGAGGGGCCGUGGGGGAGGGGCCAGCUGAGAGCAGCCAGGUGAGGUUCAGGUGAGGGGUUCCAGGUGAGAGCGGCCAGGUGAGGUUCAGGUGAGGAGGUCCAGGUGAGGGGUUCCAGUUGAAGAUUCCAGGUGAGGGGUUCCAGGUGAGAGAGGCCAGGUGAGCAGCUCCAGGUGAGAAGUUUCAGGUGAGGGGUUCCAGGUGAGGAGGCUCAGGUGAGCAGUUCCAGAUGAGAGCAGCCAGGUGAGGUUCAGGUGAAGUGUUCCAGGUGAAGAUUCCAGGUGAGGGGUUCCAGGUGAGGGGUUCCAGGUGAUCUCCAGGCUCCUCCAGGUGAGCUCCACCAGGUGAGGGGUUCAACGUGAGGAAUUCCAGGUGAAGGAUUGCAGGUGAUCUCCAGGGUCCAGGUGAGCUCCAGGUGAGCUCCAGGUGAGCUCCAGGUGAGCUCCAGGUGAGCUCCACCAGGUGAGUUCAGGGGCCGUCGUCCAUCAGCUGCAGCGCGUCGGCCUCACCAGGUGAGGGGUUCCAGGUGAGGGAUUGCAGGUGAUCUCCAGGGUCCAGGUGAGCUCCAGGUGAGCUCCAGGUGAGCUCCACCAGGUGAGGGGUUCCAGGUGAGGGAUUCCAGGUGAGGGGUUCCAGGUGAGUUCCACCAGGUGAGGGGUUCCAGGUGAGGGAUUCCAGGUGAGUUCCAGGUGAGCUCCACCAGGUGAAGGAUUGCAGGUGAGGGAUUCCAG